Aethalodelphis obliquidens (Pacific white-sided dolphin) is the source of this 1610-nucleotide long non-coding RNA. RefSeq lists it as uncharacterized. The transcript has 2 exons. The record is from RefSeq and is a predicted model, not a curated record. Lineage: Eukaryota; Metazoa; Chordata; Mammalia; Artiodactyla; Delphinidae.
GCGCAUCCGAAGCCUGUGCUCCGCGACAGGAGGGGCCACAGCAGUGAGAGGCCCGCGUACCGCAAAAAAAAAAAAAAAGAAUUCUAAGAGAGGUUUUUUGGCUCCACAGAACAAUACAGUAACCAAUUACUAUAUAGUCUAUCUUCUAAUUAUGUAAUUCUAUCUAUAUAUCCUAAGUUAGGACAGUAACUAAUUCCAUUUAAAAUGUCUUCAGAAAUGCUGCCUAGGAUUUUUCCUACCUUACUGUCAUAAUAAGAAAGUAUUAAAGGAGUACUUUCUAAGCUUCAGCACUUAACUUGACUCACCAUAUUCUUAAAGAUAAUUCACUAUGUUUUGUCUUCCAUUUUUGCUAUCAGCCUGUGUUCCUUUGUAGACAGUAUAUUUUUCCCCUCCAGAUUGUUUUUAAAAUCAUUGUCUUCCACACUCUGUAGUUUCAUUACUAUGAGUCUAGAGUUUAAGAAUCAAUUUCUUAAAAAAAAAAAGAAUUUCUUUUUCUUUACCUUGUUUGUAAUUUGAUACUCUUCCUACAUCUGAGGAUACUCAUGUUUCCUUAAUUUUGUCUGGCUUGAUCAUUUAAACUCGUGACUAUGAAUUAAGUUAAACAUACAACAUGGGGUGCUUGACUACCCAAGAAAUCAUCAAGUAUCACACAGUAGGUUUAUCAAUCCCCAAGAAAGAAAACUCAUCUACCUUAAAAUCUAGUUUUUUGGUCCUUCAAAACAUCCUGAAUUGUGAUAUAUCAGUUUGAAAUGAUCAGAACAAUAAUAUGAAGGCAAAUAAAUGAGUGGGUUUGUCUUGAGAGGCAGACGACACUGAGUGGAGUAGUAAAACAGAAAAGACGAAAGCUCGGGAGGCAGGCAUUUCUCCAAACAUUUACUAGUUACGCGGUCGUGGAAAAGUUAUCUAAUGUCUCUGAGUUUAAUUUCUUCAUCCUAAGAAUGGGAAUGACAGAUUCUACCACUUGGAGUUGUUGUUAGGAUUGAGGAAAACAUACGUCAAAUCUCAUCUGACUAUAGAUUUAAGGGUAAGAACUAUGUUUUGCUCGCCACUUGUACCAGUUAUCAAUUUCUUGCCCUUUCAAUACAUGCUCUGUGAUAAUGGGCAGAAUUCUUUUAUGUACUCCCCCGUUUACAGUAAGCGGGCUAUUCGAAUUUCUCUGUAUAAUGGAAGGACACUGCAGGAGGAAAGGGCUUCUCUUGCUGGUUGCAGCUGCUGUAGAGCCCAUCAGCAGGACAUCUGGUGGUGGUCUGUCCCAGCCACGAGGCCCAGAAUAUAGAUCUUCAGCGACCUCACGUUCCCAGUGUGGCUGGGUGAGAGAUACAAAAGACUCAAAUUGAAAUUUUGACCUAAUAAAAAACAACAACUUCAUUACUGCUGCGGCAAAGUCCCUUCUUUUGACUAGGAAGAAUAUGUUUUACCAUAAAGGAGUUUUCCUAAUGUGAACGCUGCAGUAAUCCUGUGUUUCAUCAAAGGCAUAGCAACUACGUAUUCUUCAGCAGUGCUACUGAAUCCAACUAGAGUGGUUCCUUAAGGGCAGAAAAAUAAUUGUACCCAGGAAAAAGCUCAUUUGUAAAUGUUACUAUAUUAUCAUGAUAAUAAAUGUUCUUAUU